This 179-nucleotide ribosomal RNA is filed under the name Morganella morganii. Its description in RNAcentral is "partial 16S ribosomal RNA". It matches the Rfam family "Bacterial small subunit ribosomal RNA", at positions 1 to 171 of the family's 1533-position model. The record is from RNAcentral. Lineage: Bacteria; Pseudomonadati; Pseudomonadota; Gammaproteobacteria; Enterobacterales; Morganellaceae.
UUUAAUUGAAGAGUUUGAUCAUGGCUCAGAUUGAACGCUGGCGGCAGGCCUAACACAUGCAAGUCGGGCGGUAACAGGGGGAAGCUUGCUUCUCUGCUGACGAGCGGCGGACGGGUGAGUAAUGUAUGGGGAUCUGCCUGAUGGCGGGGGAUAACUACUGGAAACGGUAGCUAAUACCG